GAGUUUGAUCGUGGCUCAGGACGAACGCUGGCGGCGCGCCUAACACAUGCAAGUCGAACGGAGCUUGUUUGUUUGAUUCUUUCGGGAUGACGACUUAUAAGCUUAGUGGCGAACGGGUGAGUAACACGUGAGUAACCUGCCCCAGAGUGGGGGACAACAGUUGGAAACGACUGCUAAUACCGCAUAAGCCCACGGAACCGCAUGGUUCUGGGGGAAAAGGAGCAAUUCGCUUUGGGAUGGACUCGCGUCCGAUUAGCUAGAUGGUGAGGUAACGGCCCACCAUGGCGACGAUCGGUAGCCGGACUGAGAGGUUGAUCGGCCACAUUGGGACUGAGACACGGCCCAGACUCCUACGGGAGGCAGCAGUGGGGAAUAUUGCACAAUGGGGGAAACCCUGAUGCAGCGACGCCGCGUGGAGGAAGAAGGCC
Molecule: ribosomal RNA, 428 nt
Filed under: uncultured bacterium
Lineage: Bacteria
Description: bacterial SSU rRNA
Rfam family: Bacterial small subunit ribosomal RNA
Source: RNAcentral